This 379-nucleotide unclassified non-coding RNA is filed under the name Hevea brasiliensis (rubber tree). The record is from RNAcentral. Lineage: Eukaryota; Viridiplantae; Streptophyta; Magnoliopsida; Malpighiales; Euphorbiaceae.
UUGAACCCAAUACUCUUCAUGGAAGUUUAAAUUUGAGGAUUCAUCGAAGAGGUGAUUCAACUCGAGAAACAAGUUAUGCAAAUGGCUCCUGUGGAUCACCUUCAUCAUCACAAAAUGACCGGAUGCCUUAUCAGCCAGAGACUGUCAUUGAUAUGAAGCAGAGAUUUGUUGGCCACUGUAAUGUUGGAACUGACAUAAAACAGGCCAGUUUUCUGGGCCAGAGAGGUGAGUAUGUGGCCAGUGGAAGUGAUGAUGGUAGAUGUUUUAUCUGGGAAAAGCAAACUGGUAGACUAAUAAAAAUGCUUAAUGGAGACGAAGCUGUUGUGAACUGUGUGCAGUGCCAUCCAUUUGAUUGUGUUGUGGCUACAAGUGGUAUUGA